RNAcentral lists this ribozyme (76 nucleotides) under Tursiops truncatus (common bottlenose dolphin). Its description in RNAcentral is "Mammalian CPEB3 ribozyme (ENSTTRG00000022952.1)". It matches the Rfam family "Mammalian CPEB3 ribozyme". Rfam says of the family: The mammalian CPEB3 ribozyme is a self cleaving RNA located in the second intron of the CPEB3 gene which belongs to a family of genes regulating messenger RNA polyadenylation. This ribozyme is highly conserved and found only in mammals. Lineage: Eukaryota; Metazoa; Chordata; Mammalia; Artiodactyla; Delphinidae. RNAcentral also lists the same sequence under 1 other name. The record is from Rfam by way of RNAcentral.
AAAGGAUAACGGGGCUACAGCAGAAGCGUUCACAUUGCAGCCCCUGUCAGAUUCUGGUGAAUCUGCGAAUUCUGCU